GUGAGUUCCCUGCUCUUUCCUCUGAAAGUGUUUUUAGUUGAACAGUGUAAGAAGUAAAAAUGAAUUAACACAAGGGGACUUAAAGACUCAAUUAAGCGCAAAGCUGUUUUUCUGUUCUGGGGCAACAGGCAAAUUGUUUUUUCCCCAGGAAACUCAUUCUGAGGAAGCUGAUGUGAAAUUUUGGUCACAACAAUGGGGAGAUAAAUUUUUUUAGUCAUGGUACAAACAGGUCGGCUAUUUGCUUCAACAGAUGUCCUGAAUUCUGUGGUGUACGGACCUCCUCUCCAAGGAAAGAAAAUGCAGAGAAGACUCACCACUCAGCAGGCCUUGGAAAUGAUCCUGAGGGAAGUCGACCCUUGUGACUCGGAUGGAGAAGACCUAGGAGUUCAGCCGGAUUCGGACUCAGAGCUGUCUGAUCAGUCUUCCGAUGAGGAGACUGCUUCUCCACCGAAAAAGAGAGCUUGUUUGGGGACUGAGACAGCGAAAGAUGGCACAGUGUGGCGUGAAGAACAGGUGAGGGCCCGUCUCCCUUUCACCCCGAUAGAAGCGUACGCUGCAGAUGGAGAGCCAACGGCUAAGGCCAGGAGAAGGAUCUCGAGUCGCCUUCAGAGCUUCCUGUGUUUCAUCACUCUUGACAUGCUUCAUAGCAUUCAAGAAUGGACUAUUCAACAUGCACAGCAAACGGAGCAUGUUCAUUGGUUCAUGGACCUCCCAUGGAUACCAUGGCAGUGCCAGGAUUGUGAGUGAUUGCUGAAAAUGUUGAAAUGUACUCACUCACUUUUUAUUAUUAUUUGUAAAUAUGUGUACAAAUGGUUGGUUUUUUGUACUGUUUUUAUCAAUAAAUC
Long non-coding RNA from Astatotilapia calliptera (eastern happy), 845 nucleotides. The record is from Ensembl. NCBI's taxonomy places the organism in Eukaryota, Metazoa, Chordata, Actinopteri, Cichliformes, Cichlidae.